This 72-nucleotide transfer RNA is filed under the name Microcaldota archaeon. RNAcentral describes it as "tRNA-Ala". It matches the Rfam family "tRNA". Rfam says of the family: Transfer RNA (tRNA) molecules are approximately 80 nucleotides in length. Their secondary structure includes four short double-helical elements and three loops (D, anti-codon, and T loops). Lineage: Archaea; Nanobdellati; Microcaldota. The record is from RNAcentral.
GGGCUCUUAGAUCAGUGGUAGAUCGCUCGGUUGGCAAUCGGGAAGUCGUGGGUUCGAAUCCCACAGAGUCCA